UUGAUCCCCCACUCCUCCACCUGAGUGGCAGAGGCUUAUCUGGUGAACUAGAUGUUUUUCUGCAUGCCUACAUUCCUGAUGGGUGACCUUGGGCUAGUCACAGUUCUUCUGAAUUCUCUCACCCCCAGCUACCUCACACAGUUUCUGUUAUUGGGAGAGGAAGGGAAAGGAGUUUGGAAGUCCCUUUGAGUCUCCUU
This is a long non-coding RNA of Sphaerodactylus townsendi, 197 nucleotides long. RefSeq lists it as uncharacterized. The record is from RefSeq and is a predicted model, not a curated record. NCBI's taxonomy places the organism in Eukaryota, Metazoa, Chordata, Lepidosauria, Squamata, Sphaerodactylidae. The transcript is spliced from 3 exons.